Molecule: long non-coding RNA, 262 nt
Organism: Papaver somniferum (opium poppy)
Lineage: Eukaryota; Viridiplantae; Streptophyta; Magnoliopsida; Ranunculales; Papaveraceae
Exons: 3
Source: RefSeq, a predicted model, not a curated record
AUUUAAUUCAGGUAAAUUUGUUUGCAGGUUCUUCUUCUCCAUCUUAAUUGAUUCUAUCUUAACAAAAGAUUCAGCGUAUAGCUUCUCCAAUGAUUAACGUAAGAGCAGAAUAAAUCAAGAGUGCCUGCAAAUCUGAAGCUUGUACUCAAUCUAUGCACCACGACCAGUUGUACGCCAUUUUUCUCAGCGUAUAUAUGGUGCACUUAAAUAGAUCGAUGUAUCUCAAGCUUCUAGAAUGGAGUGUGGGGUGUGCAUAAAUUUC